Molecule: RNA transcript, 483 nt
Organism: Eptesicus fuscus (big brown bat)
Lineage: Eukaryota; Metazoa; Chordata; Mammalia; Chiroptera; Vespertilionidae
Exons: 4
Source: RefSeq, a predicted model, not a curated record
CGUCCUGUAAUUUUCGAGUCUGUGUAGCGUGAGUGACAGUGGGUGUUGCUCGCCGAGUCUCUGGGGGAUCUCUGUAAACUGAUGGAGGACUUGGAGCGAGCCGGAGCUGGGAGCGUAGCGGGGAAAGGCUGACGGAUCUCUGUGCAAGAGUUGCAGAAAAUGAUUAACUUCCAGGGAUCAGUGACAUUCCAGGAUGUGGCUGUGGACUUCACCUCAGAGGAGUGGCAGCUGCUUGACUGUGAUCAGAGAACCUUAUAUUGGGAUGUGAUGUUGGAGAACUUUAGAAACCUCAUCUCAGUGGGCCCUGAGACUCAAGGAGGCAGACCUGAGUUGUGAGGUAGUUGUUUGUCCCUAGCACCUUGUUCCCAGUUCUGUGUUGUUUCCCAUGAACAGGGAGUCCAGUAACCAAAACAAAAGUGAUCUUCAGGGCGGAGCAAGGACAGGAGCUGCAGGUGGUGGAGGGAGAGAACCCACAUUGGAGCC